UACGUAGGGUGCAAGCGUUGUCCGGAUUUAUUGGGUUUAAAGGGUGCGUAGGCGGCCCUGUAAGUCAGUGGUGAAAUACUCCAGCUUAACUGGAGGGGUGCCAUUGAUACUGCAGGGCUUGAGUUAAGUUGAAGUUGGCGGAAUUGACGGUGUAGCGGUGAAAUGCUUAGAUAUCGUCAAGAACACCUAUAGCGAAGGCAGCUUACUAGGCUGUAACUGACGCUGAGGCACGAAAGUGUGGGGAUCAAACAGG
This 253-nucleotide ribosomal RNA is filed under the name uncultured bacterium. RNAcentral describes it as "partial 16S ribosomal RNA". It matches the Rfam family "Bacterial small subunit ribosomal RNA", at positions 524 to 776 of the family's 1533-position model. The record is from RNAcentral.